AUUGAACGCUGGCGGCAUGCCUUACACAUGCAAGUCGAACGGCAGCGGACCUUCGGGUGCCGGCGAGUGGCGAACGGGUGAGUAAUAUAUCGGAACGUACCUUUCAGUGGGGGAUAACGUAGCGAAAGUUACGCUAAUACCGCAUAUUCUGUGAGCAGGAAAGCAGGGGAUCGCAAGACCUUGCGCUGAUUGAGCGGCCGAUAUCAGAUUAGCUAGUUGGUGAGGUAAAGGCUCACCAAGGCGACGAUCUGUAGCGGGUCUGAGAGGAUGAUCCGCCACACUGGAACUGAGACACGGUCCAGACUCCUACGGGAGGCAGCAGUGGGGAAUUUUGGACAAUGGGCGCAAGCCUGAUCCAGCCAUGCCGCGUGAGUGAAGAAGGCCUC
This 386-nucleotide ribosomal RNA is filed under the name uncultured bacterium. RNAcentral's name for it is "bacterial SSU rRNA". It matches the Rfam family "Bacterial small subunit ribosomal RNA", at positions 30 to 418 of the family's 1533-position model. The record is from RNAcentral.